RNAcentral lists this ribosomal RNA (126 nucleotides) under Mycobacterium syngnathidarum. Its description in RNAcentral is "partial 16S ribosomal RNA". It matches the Rfam family "Bacterial small subunit ribosomal RNA", at positions 1 to 124 of the family's 1533-position model. Lineage: Bacteria; Bacillati; Actinomycetota; Actinomycetes; Mycobacteriales; Mycobacteriaceae. The record is from RNAcentral.
GUUUUUGUUUGGAGAGUUUGAUCCUGGCUCAGGACGAACGCUGGCGGCGUGCUUAACACAUGCAAGUCGAACGGAAAGGCCCUUCGGGGUACUCGAGUGGCGAACGGGUGAGUAACACGUGGGUGA